This 861-nucleotide ribosomal RNA is filed under the name Triticum aestivum (bread wheat). Its description in RNAcentral is "partial small subunit ribosomal RNA". The record is from RNAcentral. Lineage: Eukaryota; Viridiplantae; Streptophyta; Magnoliopsida; Poales; Poaceae.
AUGGACAAGGAUGACAUCCUCUGUUGCCACAUCCUCAAGGUGUUCACCCAUAUUGGAGUUGAUGUCAUAUCGGAAAGGUACCUGCUAAGACGGUGGACACCUACUAUUGUGCCUAGUGCACCAGGGACUGGUUAUGAGCAACCAGAUGAAAUGCCUCCUCAAUCAAAGAAGCAGAUAAGGUGGAGGAACAUGAUAUACGAUUUUCGGAAACUAGCAAAGUUUGCGAGUGGUUCUGAUACAGCACAAGCUAUUGUAUACAAGCAUAUGCUCACAGCACGUACCGAGAUCGGCCACCUGAACAAGUCCAAGAAAAAGAAAAAAUCGACUGCUGCCACUGGGCCAUCAGAUGAUGGCAACCCUCGAGGACCUCCUCCACCUCCAGGCAGCAAUCAUGGGGCUCAUUAUCCAGGUGAUGUCAACCCUCAAGGACCUCCUCCACCUCCUGGCUGUACACGGCAUCCUCUGCCACCUCCUCCCCCGUGUGCUCCUCCCAAUGGCCCUACAGGCAGCACUCAGGGGGCUCAUCGUCCAGGUGAUGCCAACCCUCAAAGACCUCCUCCCCUGCCUGGCCCAACUAGCAGUGCCCUGCAUGCUACUCCCAAUGGACCUACAGGCAGGACUCAGGGGGCUCAUCACCCAGGUGAUCGUGAUGGUGCUAUUGCCCUGUUGGAGGCUGCAUCCCCUGCACAAGCUUCUGAUGAUUUUGUGCCCAGGGAUCCUCCAAGGCCUACUACAAAGAGUAGGGCAAAGAGUCGACAGUACAAAUCGGCACUGGAGCUACACCUAGAGAAGAAAAACAAAUGCAGCCAGUGCCAAUCUAUAGAGCACACUACUGGUGUGUGUCCACUCGGGCUACUGUGA